This 468-nucleotide ribosomal RNA is filed under the name uncultured bacterium. RNAcentral's name for it is "partial 16S ribosomal RNA". It matches the Rfam family "Bacterial small subunit ribosomal RNA", at positions 28 to 507 of the family's 1533-position model. The record is from RNAcentral.
GACGAACGCUGGCGGCGUGCUUAACACAUGCAAGUCGAACGGAAAGGCCCUGCUUUUGUGGGGUGCUCGAGUGGCGAACGGGUGAGUAACACGUGAGUAACCUGCCCUUGACUUUGGGAUAACUUCAGGAAACUGGGGCUAAUACCGGAUAGGAGCUCCUGCUGCAUGGUGGGGGUUGGAAAGUUUCGGCGGUUGGGGAUGGACUCGCGGCUUAUCAGCUUGUUGGUGGGGUAGUGGCUUACCAAGGCUUUGACGGGUAGCCGGCCUGAGAGGGUGACCGGCCACAUUAGGACUGCGAUACGGACCAGACUCCUACGGGAGGCAGCAGUGGGGAAUAUUGCACAAUGGGCGGAAGCCUGAUGCAGCAACGCCGCGUGCGGGAUGACGGCCUUCGGGUUGUGAACCGCUUUCGCCUGUGACGAAGCGUGAGUGACGGUAAUGGGUAAAGAAGCACCGGCUAACUACGUG